Long non-coding RNA from Aedes aegypti (yellow fever mosquito), 615 nucleotides. RefSeq lists it as uncharacterized. The record is from RefSeq and is a predicted model, not a curated record. Lineage: Eukaryota; Metazoa; Arthropoda; Insecta; Diptera; Culicidae. The transcript has 2 exons.
UAGAGCUUUAUCAUGCGGAAAAAAACUUUCCUGGUGAAAUCCAUUUUCUUAAAUUACGCCUCUACAAACAAUUAUUAUCCGAGUGAGACAUAGCCAAACUUGUCGUAGCAUUAGUAUAAUUUUGUCCAUUGAGCAUUCAACAUGACGAAAGUUAUAGCGCUACUAGUUACAGUCGCUCUGGCACUACAAGUUGCAACGGCAUUUUUCUGCGAUGGAAUUCCAGGGGGACUUAAGUUGCGUUUCCCAAUUGCCGGUAUAUGCGAUGAGUACAUUGCCUGCCAUCAUGACACGGAGCACGAGUGGAAAUGUCCCGGAGGCCGUUUCUUCAGCCAGCGCCAGCAGAAGUGUGUCGAUAAUUGUGAUCCUACCGAGCAGCUGAAUUUGUGUGCUGGGUUAAUCAAUGAUUAUUGUUGCGCCCUCCUCUGUCGGAGUUCCCUUUCAGCUGUAGACGGCACUACGAGUGUAUGAGUGGCAUGAUGAUUACCCGAGACUGUCCUGCAGGAUCGUACUUUUCUCAGAAAAAUCAAGGAUGUGGAUCCGUUCGGGAGGAAUUCUGUAUUCCUGAUUAACUGUGUGAAUUCACGGAAUAAAUUACAACUAUUCUUUUAUGUAGGA